Molecule: ribosomal RNA, 253 nt
Filed under: uncultured bacterium
Lineage: Bacteria
Description: partial 16S ribosomal RNA
Rfam family: Bacterial small subunit ribosomal RNA
Source: RNAcentral
UACAGAGGGUGCAAGCGUUGUUCGGAAUUAUUGGGCGUAAAGCGCGUGUAGGCGGCUUUGCAAGUCGGGUGUGAAAGCCCUCAGCUCAACUGAGGAAGGGCGCCCGAAACUGCAGAGCUUGAGUACCGGAGAGGAUGGCGGAAUUCCCCAAGUAGAGGUGAAAUUCGUAGAUAUGGGGAGGAACACCGGUGGCGAAGGCGGCCAUCUGGACGGUCACUGACGCUGAGACGCGAAAGCGUGGGUAGCAAACAGG